This 405-nucleotide ribosomal RNA is filed under the name uncultured bacterium. RNAcentral describes it as "partial 16S ribosomal RNA". It matches the Rfam family "Bacterial small subunit ribosomal RNA", at positions 30 to 526 of the family's 1533-position model. The record is from RNAcentral.
AUUGAACGCUAGCGGGAUGCCUUACACAUGCAAGUCGAACGAGUGGCGGACGGGUGAGUAAUAUAUCGGAACGUGCCCAGUAGCGGGGGAUAACUACUCGAAAGAGUGGCUAAUACCGCAUACUCUUGGAGCGGCCGAUAUCGUAUUAUCUAGUUGGUGGGGUAAAGGCUCACCAAGGCGACGAUCCGUAGCUGGUUUGAGAGGAUGACCAGCCACACGGGAACUUAGAAACGGUCCAGAUUCCUACGGGAGGUAGCAGUGGGGAAUAUUGAAAAAUGGGGGAAACCCUGAGGCAGCCAUCCCGCGUGUAUGAGAAGGCCUUCGGGUUGUAAAGUACUUUUAGCGGGGAAGCGGUAUCUGCAGAAUAAGCACCGGCUAACUACGUGCCAGCAGCCGCGGUAAUAC